RNAcentral lists this ribosomal RNA (255 nucleotides) under uncultured bacterium. Its description in RNAcentral is "partial 16S ribosomal RNA". It matches the Rfam family "Bacterial small subunit ribosomal RNA", at positions 524 to 776 of the family's 1533-position model. The record is from RNAcentral.
UACGUAAGGGGGCUAGCGUUGUCCGGAAUCAUUGGGCGUAAAGAGCGUGUAGGCGGCCCGGUAAGUCCGCUGUGAAAGUCGGGGGCUCAACCCUCGAAUGCCGGUGGAUACUGUCGGGCUAGAGUGCGGAAGAGGCGAGUGGAAUUCCUGGUGUAGCGGUGAAAUGCGCAGAUAUCAGGAGGAACACCGAUUGCGAAGGCAGCUCGCUGGGACGUAACUGACGCUGGAGACGCGAAAGCGUGGGGAGCAAACAGG